Long non-coding RNA from Panthera uncia (snow leopard), 1362 nucleotides. RefSeq lists it as uncharacterized. The transcript is spliced from 3 exons. The record is from RefSeq and is a predicted model, not a curated record. Lineage: Eukaryota; Metazoa; Chordata; Mammalia; Carnivora; Felidae.
CUGCCCGAGACCUCACCAGAAAGGCUUGUGAUGUCAUUUCUACCAACAUUCUGUUCCUGUAUUCUCUAAGAAGAUGGAGACUCUCUCUACAGCUCCCCUCUGUUCUUUCUGAGACCUCACCAGAACUGCCUUUAACAUCCACAUUUCCAACAACAGUCCUUUGGUGGCAAUUUAGGCUUUCUCUGGCAAGCACCAUCAAACUCUAACCUCUACCCAUUUCCCAGUUCCAAAGCUGCUUCUGCAUUUUUAGACUCUGGGAUGUCCAAGCUGAGGGUUCCAGCAGGGUAUGGUUGCUGGUGAAGGUUCUCUCCCACUUCUCUGUUUCAUCUCCUCGGGAGCACUGAGCACUGUCCAAAAUUCCACAGGCUUCACUUGCUUGUUGUCUUUCUCCAUGAGAGGUAAGUGAGGAAAAAAGAGCAGAUCUUAGAAUUUUACAGACACAGAAAGUAUUUUUGUGUGGAGGUGAAAAUGAAGACAAAAUAAUCCUUUUUGGGAAUAAAAAGGGAACUGAGGCAAGCAGGCAAGGAACUUGUGGUGGACACACCCUAAGGUGAUCCUUAAUGACCUGACUUGUAGAAUUCUCUUCUCCGGAAUGUGGGUGACACCUGUGACCUUCCUCUAACCAGUAGAAUAUGGUAAAGGUGAUGGCACACCAUUAUGUUCCGUUCUCUAAGACUCCACGUUCGCAGACCAGGGUGAGAGGCGCUCCUGCCAGCCUUGAAGAAGCAAGCUGCUGGGACAUGGGCUUCCCGUGUAGAAAGCCGCAAAGCGGGGAACCGCAGGGAGAGCCUCUAACCAGGAAGAAACCAGGAGCCCUCUGUCCCGUCUCCAUGAUGACCUGAAUUCCCCCCACAACCACCUGAGCUCCGAAGAAGACCCUGAGAUCCAGAAGGGACACAGCUCUGCUAACAGCUUGGCUGCAGCCUAGCGGGAUCCUGAGCACAGGACCCAGAAACUGUGAGAUAAUAAACAUGUGUUGUUUCAAGCUACUAAAUUUGGUGUAAUUUUUUUUUUUGUUUUUGUUUUGUUUUGUUUUACAGCAAUGAAAAAUUAAUGCAAAGCUGUGGCAGAAAGAAAAGUGAUUUUCAGAAUCAGUUUAGUAGAAGGGCUUCUGGAAAAGAAAACUCAGGGUAAUAUCAAACCUGGGUUAGGAAGGGGGUCUUGCUGUUGACAUGUGCAGAAGGCAGUUAAGGUGACCAAAGAUCAAAUGAAUCAGAAAAUAUGGGCUCCCGUCCACUUAGAUUCAUGUUGGACAUUCACAUCUCACAGAUGAGUGGAGAUGCCUGGAAAAGCAGAAGAAUAUUAAAUAUUGACUAUCAUUUUACUAGUGAUAACAAUGACAAAAAUAUAUGCGUGUGUGUG